UCUUAAUUGAUUUUGUAUUGAAUGCUCAGUAGGUGUCCAUCAAGGCUAAUUGAGGCUUGUUCAUCAAGUAAAUUAACAACAUGGUUCUUCAGUUAAAUCUAUAAAGGCAGGUGAGGUAAUCUAACUUCAGUUAAUUCUAUAAAGGCAGGUGAGGUAAUCUAACUUCAGUUAAUUCUAUAAAGGCAGGUGAGUGACAGGCGUGGUAAUCUAACUUCAGUUAAUUCUAUAAAGGCAGGUGAGGUAAUCUAACUUCAGUUCAUUCUAUAAAGGCAGGUGAGUGACAGGUGAGGUAAUCUAACUUCAGUUAAUUCUAUAAAGGCAGGUGAGUGACAGGUGAGGUAAUCUAACUUCAGUUAAUUCUAUAAAGGCAGGUGAGGUAAUCUAACUUCAGUUAAUUCUAUAAA
Long non-coding RNA from Oncorhynchus tshawytscha (Chinook salmon), 404 nucleotides. The record is from Ensembl. Lineage: Eukaryota; Metazoa; Chordata; Actinopteri; Salmoniformes; Salmonidae.